UUCCAGCUCUGUACUUGGGUGCAGGGGUAGGAUCUGGGCUCCUUGUGCUGCUGUUACUGCUGACAGGAGGAGUGCUGAAGUGUCUGCAAUCCAAACGAGACCCUGCUGUCCAGACUGAACCUGUGUACACCAUGGUGAAUCUGCCCAAGCAGCCUUCAAAGCAACAGGAUGACACCCUCACCUACUCAGAAAUAAACACUGCUCGUGUCACCAAGAAGAAACCCAGAUCUGCACCUGAUCAAGACAAUGUAACAUAUGCAACAGUUAAAACUGCCACAUACUGAUAACCACUGGGAAAAAUGAAUGUUGUUUUGAAAAAUACCGGAAUAUUCAAUUAAUCAAAUUGAUCUUUCACUUUUAUCUACAUACUCUCUGCUUUCAUACCUACCAGAACGAUCAUACAGUCCUGUCAGUGGGAGACACUUUAGUUCUUGUCUCAGAACUGACAAACCAUUGGAGAUAAAUAAUCUAGGAGGCUGUGGGGAAAUGUGUGAAACAAUAGAAGACACAUUGAUAACACACUGGCAUCAAUGCUGGGAGGCAAGCAUUUCUAUGAAACCUUUUUGCGCAUGUUCUAGUGUUUAAAGAGCCAGUAGUAUACGUUGUGUUUCCCUGUAGGAGUGCUGGAUUCUUAAUCAAAGCCAACACACAAUGCAUUUCUUAAUCAAAGCCAACACACAAUGCAUUUCUUAAUCAAAGCUAACACACAAUGCAUUUGUUUUGGUCGACCAUUCUGGGUUGGUCUGGGUGGUGUUGCUUCAGUAUUACAUUCUAAUCAUUUCUCUGUAAAUCUUACCUGGCUUUGAGGAUCCAGGACUGAACAACCUGCCUCAUUCCUUGCAAAUCAUGUGACAACAUGACCGUUCAACUGUGCCAGCCCCACUAACUCUAAAUGACAAAAUCUGUUCCAAAUUCUCAAUGAACUGAGGUGUGGUGUGAAUGCAAUCGGGUCUAAAAUUAGAUUAAUUUAGCAACAAACGAUAUCUGAAAAGGUCCUAAAAUGUUUACUAUUUUUAAAGCAAAACUAGUUCAGUAAAAUGAAUCUAAUUCAAUUAUUUUCACUUUUUUCCAGACUGAGUUGGGUUCAUUUAGAAUAGUCUCAACAGUGAAACUGGAUUGAAAAGCUUGCAAUGGUACUCACAUGGCAGUGGUAAUCUGAUGUGAAUUCAUAGCAUAGGGAUGGGAAAAUAAUUGGAAACUGCAAGAGUAAAGUGCAACUAUUAUUAACAUUUAUAUUCAGUGUGUGUCGGGUUAGAAAACAUAUGUGAAGUUUGGUGGGCUCAACUUAGCCCUCUAUAAGCAUUCAUUAUCAAGCAAUUCUGUACAACUGCCAGUGUGCUUGAGAGGGGCACAGGACUGAAUGUCCAGCCUGUAAUUUGUUUAGAAUGGUAAAUGGUAUUCUUUCCUUUCAAAAGAACUUGAUAACAGCUUUGAGAACCUGAUCUGUUGUGAAUGGAAAUCAGCAAUGAUUCAUAUUUCCUCUUAUUCAUGUGUUUCCUGUUCAUACUGUAAAACAAUUAUAUGUAUUUUAAUAACCAGCAGCGGGUUACACAGACCCCAGUGAGCAGCACUGCUAGAUUACCUUACCUAAGGGACACAUGAUUAGUGCUAAUGUGAGUCUAAUCAAUCAACCACAUCUCUGAGCUACAGCCCCUUCAGCAUUGCUCUGUAUGUAUUUAACUUCAUUGUUAUAAAGUGUACAAAAUGUA
Long non-coding RNA from Polyodon spathula (Mississippi paddlefish), 1709 nucleotides. RefSeq lists it as uncharacterized. The transcript has 3 exons. Lineage: Eukaryota; Metazoa; Chordata; Actinopteri; Acipenseriformes; Polyodontidae. The record is from RefSeq and is a predicted model, not a curated record.